UACGUAGGGGGCAAGCGUUGUCCGGAAUCAUUGGGCGUAAAGAGCUUGUAGGCGGCUUGGUAAGUCCGCUGUGAAAGUCCAGGGCUCAACCCUGGAAAGCCGGUGGAAACUGUCAAGCUUGAGUCCGGAAGAGGCGAGUGGAAUUCCUGGUGUAGCGGUGAAAUGCGCAGAUAUCAGGAGGAACACCAAUGGCGAAGGCAGCUCGCUGGGACGGUACUGACGCUGAGACGCGAAAGCGUGGGGAGCAAACAGG
This 253-nucleotide ribosomal RNA is filed under the name uncultured bacterium. RNAcentral describes it as "partial 16S ribosomal RNA". It matches the Rfam family "Bacterial small subunit ribosomal RNA", at positions 524 to 776 of the family's 1533-position model. The record is from RNAcentral.